RNAcentral lists this long non-coding RNA (220 nucleotides) under Trifolium pratense (red clover). Its description in RNAcentral is "long non-coding RNA (TPRA_LNC013046)". Lineage: Eukaryota; Viridiplantae; Streptophyta; Magnoliopsida; Fabales; Fabaceae. The record is from RNAcentral.
UAUUUUAUGAGUCUUUAAGUGUCCUUAGCAGAACGAGCAACCACAAUUUGGUCUUGAUAUUUGAAUUAAGAAACAUUGAUGGAAUUGUUAUAAUUCAUGAAUUGGACCGAACAUGUAUGUUUAUAUAGUGAGUGAAUAUUGACAAAGGAAUGAGAGAUUAACAUGUAAUAAUACAUAAUAAGGGGCUAGUACAAAGAGCUGGUACAAAUUAAUAAGGGCC